CCUACGGGCGGCAGCAGUGAGGAAUAUUGGUCAAUGGCCGGGAGUCUGAACCAGCCAAGUCGCGUGAGGGAAUAAGGCCCUAUGGGUCGUAAACCUCUUUUCUGAGGGACGAAGAAAGUGACGGUACCUCAGGAUUAAGCCACCGCUAAAUACGUGCCCGCAGCCGCGGGAAUACGUAGGUGGCAAGCGUUAUCCGGAUUUAUUGGGUUUAAGGGGCGUGUAGGCGGGAAAGUAAGUCAGAUGUGAAAGCUUGGGGCUCAACCCUGAGCCUGCAUGUGAAACUGGUUUUCUUGAGUGCUGGAGAGGCAAUCGGAAUUCCGGGUGUAGCGGUGAAAUGCGUAGAUAUAACGAGGAACACCAGUUGCGAAGGCGGAUUGCUGGACAGUAACUGACGCUGAGGCGCGAAAGCGUGGGGAGCAAACAGGAUUAGAUACCCCUGUAGUC
Molecule: ribosomal RNA, 444 nt
Filed under: uncultured bacterium
Lineage: Bacteria
Description: partial 16S ribosomal RNA
Rfam family: Bacterial small subunit ribosomal RNA
Source: RNAcentral